ACACACACACACACACACACACACACACACACAACACCCCCCCCUACCUUGUCCUUGUCCUGGAGCCAUGCAGAAGCUCGCCGUGUGAGAUUUAAUCGGCUGCGCCUUCUCCUGGGCCGCCGCCGUUUUCGCACGGAGGAAGUCGGCGUCCUGUAGGCGCUCCACGCGCUCGUCCUGUUUCCAGCACAGAUCCGUGAGAUCGGCGACGUCGGCAAACCCGUGAUGGUGACCGAGCAUUCCCAAGAGCGCGGCGCACUUCGAGCGGAUGCGCACUUCCGAUUUUCCCGUGUGCAUGUUCGAACCCUCAGCGCAUAACACCUCACCACGGAUUCUUCCUCGUACCUGCCCAGGAGGAGAGGGGAAAGAAAUCAUGUACCGGACGCUCCAGAGCGAAGCGCGAAGAGCGAAGAGCUCGUCGUCCCCCACCCCCUCGACCUUUCUUCCUUCCUUCCUUCCUUUCUUCACGCAGGUUUCCGUACACUGAACCUCUUUCAUCUGAACAACAGACCUAAUCGUACACGACGGCAGAGCUCCGAAGAGGAGCGUGUAAACGUCGAACCGCUCGCAGACACGUUUUAAUGACAUUGACACCCAUUUCCUUCUCCGUUCUCGACCCUGAACCGACAGCUCUACUUAACACCUACGGCUUUUAAACGGACCUGUGCGGCGUUUAAUUACAGCGCUCAGCGUGCGUUUAACCCCUGCAGCGUUCACUCACAGCGCGGUGAACUCUACUGAACGCGCGCAGUCCCGCGGCGGCCGGAUGAGGAUGAGAAUGCGAAUACGAUGGACGCCUGUACAUGAAGUCUGCUGUGGUAGCGCCUGAUACGAGUGUUUUGACCUGUAGAGUAUCCAGUGAAGAGUUUCAUGUAGUGUUCAGUUCACUCCUGCAGCGCUCGGUUAAUAAACUACACUGAACUGAAUGAAAAUCAGACCCUGUUGAUCAUGAACACGUCGAUGAUUAGUACCACCGCAGAACUGAUUUCAUUUUUACCAGCUCCGACUGAACGCCUACAGUGUUGCGCUCGUCGCUGCUUUUGAAUCAACACCUUCAGGGCUAAAUGAACUGUCGUAGUGCCGCGUGCGGGUUUAAUUCACGCGGCAUUUGAUCCCGUCCGCUGAACACACACAAAUGUUCCCCUUCGGGUCGUUUUAUUACAGGCCGCGUGUCCCUGCGGCGCUCGUCCGGCGUUCGGGUAACACUCACAGCUGAAUCAACGUCUGCAGGUGACGUUCAUGUCAUUCGAUUAAUUAACACGAGAAGAAUUCCUCUCAUCUUUAGAGUACUGAAUUAACGCCCGCAGUGUUGGGUUCAUUACACACGUUUAUUUAAGACGUGUAACGUCAGGUUAAUUACACACGUUUAUUUAAGACGUGUAACGUCGGGUUAAUUACACACGUUUAUUUAAGACGUGUAACGUCGGGUUAAUUACACACGUUUAUUUAAGACGUGUAACGUCGGGUUAAUUACACACGUUUAUGCAGGUUAAUUAUAAACAUUUAUUUAGGUUAAUUAUAAACAUUUAUUUAGGUUAAUUAUAAAUAUUUAUUUAGGUUAAUUAUAAACAUUUAUUUAGGUUAAUUAAAAACAUUUAUUUAGGUUAAUUAUAAAUAUUUAUUUAGGUUAUUUAUAAACGUUUAUUUAAGACGUGUAGUGUUAAAUAAAUGUUUAUAAUUAAUCUAACACCACACGCCUUGAAUAAAUGUUUAUAAUUAAUGUAACCUGUAGUGUUAGAUUAAUUAUAAACGUUUAUUUAAAUACUACAGUCUUCAUUUAAUUAUCAGUGGAAUUAGCAUUUACAGUGCUGAGUUUUCUGAUCAGCACUGAUCUGAGACCUGUAGCAUUCACGGACUCACCAGUGUUGUAUUAAUGAAUGAUCACACAGUGUGUGUGGAAUUAGUGUGGAAUUAAGGCUCGCAGUGUUCAGUUCAGCAGUAGUGUUGGAUAUCUAAGCUUCUGGGAUUGACAGCCCGUCACAGUGGUUCUGGGUGGUGUGGAGUGGUUCUGGGUGGUGUGGAGUGGUUCUGGGUGGUGUUGAUGGUUCUGGGUGGUGUUGAGUGGUUCUGGGUGGUGUGGAGUGGUUCUGGGUGGUGUGGAGUGGUUCUGGGUGGUGUGGAGUGUUCACGUACCUGUAGAAGGUGAGCGUCUCCGCGGUGUGCAGUGUUGAGCAGCUGAUGUCGGGCUCCUCAUCAUCUUUUCUAACACAUUAACAGCGUUCCUCUGCGCGUCCUCAUCCUCAGCCUCAUCCUCUACCCCAACACACACGCUCACGAACUCACACACUCACACAC
Molecule: long non-coding RNA, 2292 nt
Organism: Ictalurus punctatus (channel catfish)
Lineage: Eukaryota; Metazoa; Chordata; Actinopteri; Siluriformes; Ictaluridae
Source: Ensembl